AUGGCCUCUCCUGGUCCCGUCACGUCGUCGUUGAACGGCUCGGAGGCGACACGGGCGCCGCCUGCGGCGCUGACCGAGGAGAGGAAGCGGAAGCGCAAGGAGUCGAACCGGCUGUCCGCGCAGCGGUCGCGCGCGCGCAAGCUGCUGCAGGUGGACGAGCUGGAGGCGGAGGCGGCAGCACUGCGCGCCCGGAACUGCGCCGUGGCAGCGGCGGCACAGGAGGCCGCGCGCCGGUGCGCGGUCGUCCAGGCCGAGAACGAGCUCCUGCAUGCGCGGGCGCUGGAGCUGGGCGCGCGCCUCGAGUCGCUCGCCGAGCUGAUCCAGUACAUCGACGCGGCCGCCGCCAUGGGUGCUUCCUCCAUCCCGCUCGCCGGCGUCAACGGCACCGCCUUGCCCCAGCAGCCGAUCCUGCAAACGGAGUUGUACUGCAACUACCCCUACUACUGCUAG
This 450-nucleotide ribosomal RNA is filed under the name Triticum aestivum (bread wheat). RNAcentral describes it as "partial small subunit ribosomal RNA". Lineage: Eukaryota; Viridiplantae; Streptophyta; Magnoliopsida; Poales; Poaceae. The record is from RNAcentral.